GUUCUGGUGCCAGCAGCCGCGGUAAUUCCAGCUCCAAUAGCGUAUAUUAAAGUUGUUGCAGUUAAAAAGCUCGUAGUCGAUUUUCUAAGUGUCAGCAUCUUUUGCCCUCGGGCGAGAUAUUGGCUCUUAUCUGACCGAGAACUUUGUUCGGCCUUCACUGGUCGGCGAUGUAUAUCGGUCAUUUUACUGAGAAAAAAUUAGAGUGUUCAAAGCAGGCUUAACGCCUUGAAUACACAAGCUUGGAAUAAUAGAAUACGACUGAAGUCUUUUUUGUUGGUUAUGAGGCUUUAGUAAUGGUUAAUAGAAACAGUUGGGGGCAUUAGUAUCUAAUUGUCAGAGGUGAAAUUCUUGGAUUUAUUAGAGACUAACUUAUGCGAAAGCAUUUGCCAAAGAUGUUUUCAAUUGAUCAAGAACGAAAGUUAGGGGUUCAAAGACGAUCAGAUACCGUCCUAGUCUUAACUAUAAACGAUUCCGACUAUGGAUUGGGAGGGCUCCAGAGCUCUCUCAGCACAUUAUGAGAAAUCAUAAGUCUUUAGGUUCCGGGGGAAGUAUGGAUGCAAAUCUGAAACUUAAAGGAAUUGACGGAAGGGCACACAAGGAGUGGAGACUGCGGCUUAAUUUGACCCAACACGGGGAAACUUACGCGGGCAAGACAUGGGUAGGAUUGACAGAAAUGAGAGCUCUUUCUUGAUUCUAUGGGUGGUGGUGCAUGGCCGUUCUUAGUUGGUGGAGUGAUUUGUCUGGUUAAUUCCGUUAACGAACGAGACCUUACCCUGCUAAAUAGGAGCUUGAUGAACAAUUGAGUUUCCUUCUUAGAGGGACUAUGUGUGCAAGCACAUGGAAGUUUGAGGCAAUAACAGGUCUGUGAUGCCCCUAGAUGUCCGCGGCCGCACGUGUUCUACAAUGACACUAGCAACAAGUAUGUCCUGCUCCGACAGGAGUUCGGGUAAUCUUCAUAGUUAGUGUCGUGCUUAGGAUUGUCUUUUGUAAUUAUAGGACAUGAAUUAGGAAUUCCUAGUAUAGGUACGUCAUCAUCGUGCCUAGAUUAUGUCCCUGCCCUUUGUAUACACCGCCCGUCGCUCCUACCGAUUGAGAGAUUCAGUAAACCUUCUGGAGUGGGUAGAAUCUUUAAGGUUCUGUCUGCAAAGUUAAGUAAACUAUUAUCUCUUAGA
This 1172-nucleotide ribosomal RNA is filed under the name metagenome. RNAcentral describes it as "SSU rRNA". It matches the Rfam family "Eukaryotic small subunit ribosomal RNA", at positions 558 to 1777 of the family's 1831-position model. The record is from RNAcentral.